RNAcentral lists this ribosomal RNA (732 nucleotides) under uncultured bacterium. RNAcentral describes it as "bacterial SSU rRNA". It matches the Rfam family "Bacterial small subunit ribosomal RNA", at positions 78 to 790 of the family's 1533-position model. The record is from RNAcentral.
UUCGGGGACCGAGUAGAGUGGCGUCCGGGUGAGUAACACGUGGGUAAUUUGCCUUCGGGUGGGGAAUAACACCUCGAAAGAGGUGCUAAUACCGCAUAAUGCAGCGGCACCUUAUGGUGACAGUUGUUAAAGCGGGGGAUCGCAAGACCUCGCGCCUGAAGAGAAGCCCGCGGCGGAUUAGCUAGUUGGUGGGGUAAUGGCCCACCAAGGCAACGAUCCGUAGCCGGCCUGAGAGGGCGGUCGGCCACACUGACACUGACACACGGGUCAGACUCCUACGGGAGGCAGCAGUCGGGAAUUUUGGGCAAUGGGCGAAAGCCUGACCCAGCAACGCCGCGUGAAGGAUGAAAUUUUUCGGAAUGUAAACUUCGCAAGAACAGGAAGAAUAAGUAGAGGCUAAUACCUUCUAUGAUGACGGUACUGUUUGUAAGCUCCGGCUAACUCCGUGCCAGCAGCCGCGGUAAUACGGGGGGAGCAAGCGUUGUUCGGAUUUACUGGGCGUAAAGGGCGCGUAGGCGGCCACGACAAGUCACUUGUGAAAUCUCCGGGCUUAACUCGGAACGGUCAAGUGAUACUGUCGGGCUAGAGUGCAGAAGGGGCAACUGGAAUUCUCGGUGUAGCGGUGAAAUGCGUAGAUAUCGAGAGGAACACCUGCGGCGAAGGCGGGUUGCUGGGCUGACACUGACGCUGAAGCGCGAAAGCCAGGGGAGCGAACGGGAUUAGAUACCCCGG